RNAcentral lists this ribosomal RNA (253 nucleotides) under uncultured bacterium. Its description in RNAcentral is "partial 16S ribosomal RNA". It matches the Rfam family "Bacterial small subunit ribosomal RNA", at positions 524 to 776 of the family's 1533-position model. The record is from RNAcentral.
UACAGAGGAGCCAAGCGUUGUCCGGAUUGACUGGGCGUAAAGCGCACGCAGGCGGACGCGCGCGUGGGGUGUGAAAUCUGGCCGCUUAACGGCCAGGCGCCAUCCCAUACGGCGGGUCUGGAGCCUUGCAGAGGUCGGCGGAAUUGCCGGUGUAGUGGUGAAAUGCGUAGAUAUCAAGAGGAACACCUGCGGCGAAGGCGGGUUGCUGGGCCGACACUGACGCUGAGGCGCGAAAGCCAGGGGAGCGAACGGG